UGGAAGAUGUGCAAGCUUGGCACUGGCUGGAGCUGUUACCUCUCACCCAUCAGGAUGCUCUCACUCGCUCACCCACAGCUGGCUCAAAGCAGUGUGUGGGCAGAGCAGAAUUUUGCUGCCCAAGGAUGAGGGGUGGGGUCUGGGCAGUUCCUGCAAGGGGAAGGGGUAGGAUUUGGCAAAGAAAGGAUGGAAAGGGAUCUGGCAAGCCCCUGCCUCUUUUACUGGCACUAAGGAGUGGGGCAGUGACUGCUGCUUCCAAGAGGAUCUCUCCCAACUUCCAAAGCAGACACAGAGACCAGAUGUUUUCUGCAAAGACUGUGCCUUCUCCACACUCUGCAGGACUGUGCUCACGUGAAUGACAUUUUAAAGCUACGUAAUCCCUGGCAAAACAAGUUAAUUCUUUACCUUGAGCAGGACAAAACCAUGGAAACAAGGACUUCAGAGUGCUGCCAAGCCUGUUGGAUGUACAUCUGCACAGCACCAGGGAAAUACUGGGGGGUCCAAAAUACACAAAU
Serinus canaria (Common canary) is the source of this 515-nucleotide long non-coding RNA. RefSeq lists it as uncharacterized. The record is from RefSeq and is a predicted model, not a curated record. The transcript is spliced from 3 exons. NCBI's taxonomy places the organism in Eukaryota, Metazoa, Chordata, Aves, Passeriformes, Fringillidae.